AGGCCUUGCCUUGCGAUGACACCUGGUACCCGACGGGUUCCAUCUGUUCAAACACAUUGGCAUCCUGAAGUUGGGCCCAGCACAGCACAAUGUGCGGGGGACGACGGAAGGAUGCCUGUACCACGGCGGUCUCCGACCCUGCGGUCGGGACCGCUCCAUUGGUCGACCUCGGAUCAGGCAAGAUUACCCGCUGAACUUAA
This 200-nucleotide unclassified non-coding RNA is filed under the name soil metagenome. RNAcentral describes it as "partial contains internal transcribed spacer 2 and large subunit ribosomal RNA". The record is from RNAcentral.